GGACUGUGGAGGAAGCCCCAAGCCAGAACCUCUCAGGCUGCCGGCCCUGAGAUGAGAAAUGUUCCCUCAGAAGGGACGGUGUCAUUUGAAGAUGUGGCUGUGAACUUCACGUGGCAGGAGUGGCGGUACCUGAGUGAAGCUCAGAGGACCCUGUGCUGGGAUGUGAUGCUGGAGACCUGCAAACACCUGGUAUCUCUAGGGCCCUGUGUUACCGAUCCUGAGGAGAGCAUCAGGUCAGAGCAGGGAUUACAGCCGUGGACUGUGGACGAUCCCCCAAACCAGGACCUCUCAGGAGGCGGAUCUACAUGGCGGCAAGGAAACAGUGCGAGUA
Molecule: long non-coding RNA, 331 nt
Organism: Talpa occidentalis (Iberian mole)
Lineage: Eukaryota; Metazoa; Chordata; Mammalia; Eulipotyphla; Talpidae
Exons: 4
Source: RefSeq, a predicted model, not a curated record